GCCUUGGGUGAGGUGGCUCUCACUGGCAGAGGCUGUCUCUACAGCCGGCUGCCAGGGAUUUCCCCAUGGCCUCAAAAUGACCACCUCAGGCCUGGGUCCUGGGAUUUUCUUCCCAGUGGUCGGAAGUUUUGCUGGGAAGAGAGAGUCCUGGUUCCAUCCUCCCAGGCCUUGUGGUCUGGGGUUUCUGCCAGAUGUGAGAUGCUGAUUGUCUUCUCUGGGUCUCUGUGUCCUCCAUCUACCACGUAGGAUGAAUCAAUCCUGCCCUGCCUGUUCUGAGGCCCAGACAAGGAGGCGGUGAAAAGACCCUGUCUUCUGCGAAGGGCUCUGCAUUCAUUCCCCUACUGCUGUUAGAGCUGUUCUGCCCCUGGGGAGGAGCGCAGACCUUGAAGUAGAAGGUUAUUCUUCUCAACUAAGUCCCGGCUCCAGGAGGGAAGGAGGUGGAAACCUACUCGGGACUCUAGAGAGCAAACCCCCUCAGAAGCAGCCCAGGUUUGACAGGUUUGGGAGGCCUGGCUGAGGAAAGCCCGAGGCCCAGGCUUCCCGGACCCCCUCUGAGAAGGCUCUGGAUGUGGGGGUUUGGAGCCCCUGUCUGCUCCCUGAGAUGUGGCAGGGCCCCUGGCAGGAGCCGUGGCAAACACUGGAGACAAUCUGGCUGCUCAUAAUAGGCGAUGGAUAAAAACAUGAUGGUGAAGUCUGAUGGGACCAUGGAGCCUCAGCUCAUAGUGAGCCAGAAUUAAUCAGGCCCCGGCUUACCUGAUACAGAGGAGACAUUCUGGAGUCCCAGUGCCCAGGAAAGAAGACGGGAGGCAGUAGCAGAGCCUGGGAGAGAUGGCCUGAGGAUGUUGUGAUGGAAGACUGUAUAUGAUCAUAUGCACUGCUGUCCAGUCUGCAGAGCCAUGUGGGGGCAAGAAGCAGAGGCAAGGAGCUGCCUGCAUGUGGGCUCUGCUUCUCUAUCCCUCACUCCGUCUCCUCCGCUGCAAAAAGAGGACAGCAAUAGC
Molecule: long non-coding RNA, 998 nt
Filed under: Homo sapiens (human)
Lineage: Eukaryota; Metazoa; Chordata; Mammalia; Primates; Hominidae
Description: HSALNT0236450
Source: RNAcentral